This 320-nucleotide ribosomal RNA is filed under the name uncultured eukaryote. RNAcentral describes it as "partial 18S ribosomal RNA". It matches the Rfam family "Eukaryotic small subunit ribosomal RNA", at positions 1470 to 1796 of the family's 1831-position model. The record is from RNAcentral.
CCCCUAGAUGUUCUGGGCCGCACGCGCGCUACACUGAACAGUUCAACAAGUCUUAACCUUGGCCGAUAGGUCUGGGUAAUCUUUGAACGCUGUUCGUGAUUGGGAUAGACCUUUGGAAUUAUGGGUCUUCAACGAGGAAUUCCUAGUAAACGCAAGUCAUCAGCUUGCAUUGAUUACGUCCCUGCCCUUUGUACACACCGCCCGUCGCACCUACCGAUUGAAUGGUCCGGUGAAAUCUCGGGACGGCGGCUUGGUCGCUUGCGUCCGACUGCUGAAACUUGAUUAAACCAUAUCAUUUAGAGGAAGGUGAAGUCGUAACA